This is a long non-coding RNA of Quercus robur (English oak), 2762 nucleotides long. RefSeq lists it as uncharacterized. The transcript has 2 exons. The record is from RefSeq and is a predicted model, not a curated record. Lineage: Eukaryota; Viridiplantae; Streptophyta; Magnoliopsida; Fagales; Fagaceae.
CAUUUGCCCUUUUCAGUCUUGUGCCUUUGUGCAUAUUUUUUUAUUAGUGAAAACAUUCAUCCACUGGCACCAAUGAAAAAAUAAAAAUACAAACUUUAGCUUAAAAUAGUUUGUUUUUUAAAUCAUUAAAUAACAGUGCUGAGGCAAAAAAUUAAAAUGUAAACACAAAAAUAGAAUGAGAUUAAUACUUUCAUGUCUGUUUGGCUAGAGUUGUAAGCUUUUUAGUACAUGUAUGCAAACACACUUUCAGCAAAGCACUAAAUAAGUUUUUCCCAAACACACUUUCAGCAAAGCGCUAAAUAAGUUUUUCCCAAACGAACACUGAUUCAACAGUUCGCACAAGAAAAAGAUACUGGUAAGAAAUAUAAGUACUGAGGAAGAAUAGCGGAUCAACAAAAGCUUAUAAGUUCUAACAAAAAAACUAGAUUACAACAAAACUGCAAUUAUAAAUUGAUAAUAAUAAUAAAAAUGUCACAGUAGUUAUAACAGCUAAAAUGGCUGUAAAAGAUACGUAAUAGAUUGAAACUAAACACCAAUGGAUCAACAUAAGUUAUAACAAAAUAACUAGAUUUCAACAUAAUUACAAUUACAAAUUGAUAAAAUUUAAAAAAAAAAAAAAAAAAGUUAUGGUAGUCAUAUAAGGGUUAUAAUGGCUGUAAAAGAUACAAAUUGCCAAUGGUAGUUGCUAUAUAACAGCUAUAAUGGCCGUAAAAGAUUACCAUAAACCAUAAGAAAAGAUAGAAAUUGCCAAUAAUAUAAGUGCUAUAAUGGCCGUAAAAGAUACAUAAUAAUAGAUCAAAACUGAAGACCAAGAAAUUGAAAGUACCUACAACCAACUGUAUUCCCAGAAUUAACCAUGUCACCUUAUAAUGAAUAGAUUCAAGAAGGUGAAUGAAAUAGACUGCUGAACUUGUAUCAUUAGAAAGGAUGCAAAGCAAAUUGCCAAUGGUACAAUGACCGUAGGUAUACAUGACAGAUCAAAACUGAAUGAAAAGGUUAAAAAAUGCUAGUAUUUAUAGAUUAUACUAUCAUCACCUCAAACAUUGAAUAGCAUAUAGAGCUUACUUGGGGAUCUUCUGCAACUGUCAAAACACCAUCUAAUACAACCUCAUGCUGCUUCCACAUUCAGCCUCGCCACAGCCCACAAAAAGCCUCAAAUACAGCAGUAUAAUUGAUGCUCUCCAACAAAAGCAAAAUGCAGUGGAAGGCCACCAAGUACAUAAUGAGUCAUCCUUGCAAGAUGACAAGUAGUUUAUACAAAGAUGCAAUCAAGCAGUCCAUAUUGGACUCCAUGAUAUAUUGAUAUACAAGCAAAGCAAAAGAACUGCAUGCUCCAUUGCUAUAAAGAGUAAAUAAACAUAUUUGCAAGAAAUAUUGGUGGAGCCAGCCUUUACAAGGUAAACAUUGCACAUUGUAUCUGAAAUUUGUUCAAUUAAUUUGCUGGUAUUGCUGCCAAUUAGGCCUUAACACAUUAUCAUCAGUACUCCGCAUAUCUUUAAAAGGAGAGAAAUAGUUUUAAGUUGAUGCAUGACUAAUAGUGCAAUAUUGUCCAAACAUAUAUCUAUUGAAACCAACAUAAAUUUGAAAGAAUCCUCAUGAUCUUCAACAACAACAGUGCAAGAUAUCUCUCAAUAAACAGACAUUAAAGAAUUGAAACACGGCUGCUAUGCUUUAGGGCAUCGGAGAUCAAAUAAUCAAUUGAUACACUAACAUGCAACACUACUUUUCUUUGGGCGAAAUUAGAUUCUCCAAUAUUAUUCGGGAAACCAUUGCUAACUUAAAACAGAAUUGUUGAAUUGAUGAACUUCUUUUAUAGCAAGUUGCCAAUGACAAUAUUUCCAUUCAACUAUAAUUAAUUUUUAAUUUUAUUUUCAUUUUCAAGUUUUCAGAACCAUAGCCCGCUCCAUGAUGAUAGCUUUUUAUGGCAUUUGAACCCAACAUGCAAAUUUAUUUCAGUUUUUACUUAAUAGAACUAGCUAAUAAUUUUAUUUUUAUAAGUAAAACUAUGUUAAAAAAAAAAUUGUAACUAGAUGUAACUGCCUCUGCAGCACUUGUAUCCAGUCUUAGCAAAUAGUAAAAGUAUUAUUCUGCACUCCUACCCUAUGUUGAAAGAAUUGACUGGUGUCGUUGCAACUAGGAAUGAAUUUAGUAGAGUAUACCUCUAGGCCACGCGAGUAGUGAAUCAAUUGCUGAUGUUGCUAAGCUCAUCCUGUGGUAGUCAUUGGAGUCGCGAACUUAAUAAGAAAAGAAAUAGCAGGAAGGGAAGGGAACACACACCAGAGUGGGAGAGACCCCGGGCAAACUCCCCGUGCGAUCUCUCCCUCAAAACCAAAAACACAUCAAUUUUUUUAUUAUGUUUUUUUUUGUGACCUGCCAAGCAAGCGCACCCGUCAUGGCAAAGGUCGGAUGACAAAGAUCAAUCAGAACGAUUUAGCCCUCUCUCAACUCGGGCCUUUCGUACCGAUCUAUCUUAUACAUCCCUUUACAAUUUUUAUUUUCCAACUCCCAAUAUCCCUCUCUGCUUUCCCAUUCAUAAAUAUUUACAUCACACACACUGACACAGCCCAACAACAAUUGAGUCAUUCUCAUAUUGGUGUCGUAUGUAUGCCCUCAGAGCCGGCAGUUUAGGCGAAUUGGGAAUUGAAUUGAAAUCUGAUUCCGGAUCCAAAGGCAGCUCAUCGAUUGCGCCAUGCGUGCCUGAUACAUAAAUUUGAAAUCCCUGCAACGAUCUUAGACAAACCAAGACGACUUUCCGUGUCGUG